Molecule: long non-coding RNA, 674 nt
Organism: Oncorhynchus keta (chum salmon)
Lineage: Eukaryota; Metazoa; Chordata; Actinopteri; Salmoniformes; Salmonidae
Exons: 3
Source: RefSeq, a predicted model, not a curated record
AGGGAGGAGGAGAGGUUUAGAUAGGUUUGGUCUGAUCAUAGUAAUUGAUGACUUUCAAUCUAUUUAGAGUAUACACACUAAAAUAGGGCUGUUGACCACCACAGUCACGAGUCAAAUUCCACGUGACUGUUGAGUCAUGGUAACUAGGUAUCUCCAAAACUGUAUGGUACUCAGGGCUCUAUUGUCCCUCCAUCAGGUCCUAAUGGUCUGGUACUCAGGGCUCUAUUGUCCCUCCAUCAGGUCACUAAUGGCCUGGUACUCAGGGCUCUAUUGUCCCUCCAUCAGGUCACUAAUGGCCUGGUACUCAGGGCUCUAUUGUCCCUCCAUCAGGUCCUAAUGGCCUGGUACUCAGGGCUCUAUUGUCCCUCCAUCAGGUCCUAAUGGCCUGGUACUCAGGGCUCUAUUGUCCCUCCAUCAGGUCCUAAUGGCCUGGUACUCAGGGCUCUAUUGUCCCUCCAUCAGGUCACUAAUGGCCUGGUACUCAGGGCUCUAUUGUCCCUCCAUCAGGUCACUAAUGGCCUGGUACUCAGGGCUCUAUUGUCCCUCCAUCAGGUCACUAAUGGCCUGGUACUCAGGGCUCUAUUGUCCCUCCAUCAGGUCACUAAUGGCCUGGUACUCAGGGCUCUAUUGUCCCUCCAUCAGGUCACUAAUGGCCUGGUACUCAGGGCUCUAUU